This is a non-coding RNA of Xenopus tropicalis (tropical clawed frog), 75 nucleotides long. The record is from Rfam. NCBI's taxonomy places the organism in Eukaryota, Metazoa, Chordata, Amphibia, Anura, Pipidae.
UGCUCCUGUCAGUUUAGCUGGUUUGCAUCAGCUGACUAUUGUGCUGUGCAAAUCCAUGCAAAACUGACUGUGGCU